GGAUGAACAGUGGAACAGCAGCAGGGAAGGAAGGAAAGAUGUCACAGGCAGAUGGAAAGGCAGGACAGAAGGACAUCACUGGUAUCAAAAACAUCGCAGGCAGCAAGGUAUAGGGUUGAGGCUUCAAAUCAUACCUCCAUCUUUCAAGCUUGCACGCCCAUCCAGUGGCACACAGGAUUCUUCUGGGAACUCAAGCAUAUCCCCCGCAGACCAAAAAAAUAUAGACUGUACCAAGACUGUUCCUUAGGCCUGGGUCUUCUAGAAAGCCUUCGCAGAAGAAAAGAGGAAACAUAAAGGAGGAAAUGAAUGUGCAAAGAAUGAAUACCUUCAAGACAACGACUGGGCACAAUUUGGCCCAUGCCCCCAGGGGUCAGCUUAAUGGAGUGAAGCCUCGGCCCUUAUUGAGUCCAUGGGAGACUAUUAACUCCUAACAACUCUCCAGCUUUGCUUCAUUAUUUCUCUUAAAGGGUUCGUCAUAGCUGCACUCGCACAGAUUGAUUGCCAGAUUUCUGGCAGCUUUGCUUUUCACUCAUUGUGAAUCACUCUACACUA
Long non-coding RNA from Brienomyrus brachyistius, 552 nucleotides. RefSeq lists it as uncharacterized. The transcript is spliced from 3 exons. The record is from RefSeq and is a predicted model, not a curated record. Lineage: Eukaryota; Metazoa; Chordata; Actinopteri; Osteoglossiformes; Mormyridae.